GUCUCAGUUCAGAUUGCAGGCUGCAACUCGCCUGCAUGAAGUCGGAAUUGCUAGUAAUCGCAGAUCAGCAUGCUGCGGUGAAUACGUUCCCGGGCCUUGUACACACCGCCGUCACACCAUGGGAGUCGGUAACACCCGAAGUCGGUAGCCUAACCGUAAGGAGGGCGCCGCCGAAGGUGGGAUUGAUGACUGGGGUGAAGUCGUAACAAGGUAUC
This 215-nucleotide ribosomal RNA is filed under the name uncultured bacterium. RNAcentral's name for it is "partial 16S ribosomal RNA". It matches the Rfam family "Bacterial small subunit ribosomal RNA", at positions 1285 to 1500 of the family's 1533-position model. The record is from RNAcentral.